RNAcentral lists this ribosomal RNA (448 nucleotides) under uncultured bacterium. RNAcentral's name for it is "bacterial SSU rRNA". It matches the Rfam family "Bacterial small subunit ribosomal RNA", at positions 355 to 825 of the family's 1533-position model. The record is from RNAcentral.
UAAGGAAUAUUGCGCAAUGGGCGACAGCCUGACCCAGCAACGCCGCGUGAAGGAUGAAGUAUUUCGGUAUGUAAACUUCGAAAGAAUAGGAAGAAUAAAUGACGGUACUAUUUAUAAGGUCCGGCUAACUACGUGCCAGCAGCCGCGGUAAUACGUAGGGACCAAGCGUUGUUCGGAUUUAUUGGGCGUAAAGAGCUCGUAGGCGGUUGCGUAAGUCGGAUGUGAAAACUCAGGGCUCAACCCUGAGACGCCAUCCGAUACUGCGCUGACUUGAAUCCAGUAGGGGAGUGUGGAAUUCCUGGUGUAGCGGUGAAAUGCGCAGAUAUCAGGAGGAACACCCAUGGCGAAGGCAGCACUCUGGGCUGGUAUUGAUGCUGAGGAGCGAAAGCAUGGGUAGCGAACAGGAUUAGAUACCCACGUAGUCCCUGAGCGGGCUGGCAAGGCGCAU